GACGAACGCUGGCGGCGUGCCUAAUACAUGCAAGUCGAGCGAACCAAUAGGAGCUUGCUCCUGUUGGUUAGCGGCGGACGGGUGAGUAACACGUGGGCAACCUGCCUGUAAGACUGGGAUAACACCGGGAAACCGGUGCUAAUACCGGAUAAUCUUUUUCCUCUCAUGAGGAAAAACUGAAAGUCGGUUUCGGCUGACACUUACAGAUGGGCCCGCGGCGCAUUAGCUAGUUGGUGAGGUAACGGCUCACCAAGGCGACGAUGCGUAGCCGACCUGAAGGGGUGAUCGGCCACACUGGGUCUGAGACACGGCCCAGACUCCUACGGGAGGCAGCAGUAGGGAAUCUUCCACAAUGGACGAAAGUCUGAUGGGGCAACGCCGCGUGAGCGAUGAAGGCCUUCGGGUCAUAAAGCUCUGUUGUUAGGGAAGAACAAGUACCGGAGUAACUGCCGGUGCCUUGACGGUACCUAACCAGAAAGCCACGGCUAACUACGUGCCAGCAGCCGCCGUAA
RNAcentral lists this ribosomal RNA (512 nucleotides) under uncultured bacterium. Its description in RNAcentral is "partial 16S ribosomal RNA". It matches the Rfam family "Bacterial small subunit ribosomal RNA", at positions 28 to 523 of the family's 1533-position model. The record is from RNAcentral.